AUGGCAAACUUUUCUACCUAUAAAAGGGAGUCUUCUCUCGGCUAUAAAGCUAUAAAGAGAUCAAAUGACUUAUUCUCACGUCGGAGUCCAAACGCGAGAGGCCAUCUCUCGCGGUAAGUGAUCAAUGCAUUUUAGGUGCACUUGUUUGUACAAAUUAUUUAUAAAAUACAUUGAUUGUUAUUGUAAUACAUAUUAUAUUGAGUUGUUAUUGUUUUUUAUAGAUUGCAAGAGAUUAUUGGCUAGGGAAAGGUUCAUUUGAGAAGAAAAUUAAUUUGAGAAGAAAAAGAACAAAGAGUAUAAUUGUAAAACAUUAAAUAGUUUUUUUUUCAUCUCAUUUAUGAUUGUUUUUUGACUAAUUAAUUAGUCAUAAAGACUAUCAUCCUCCACAUUAAUUUUUUUGCCUACACGUAUCAAAAUUUAUCGUACACGUUUUGAAAUUUAUCCUACACAUAUUAAAUUUAUACUACACACCUCGUAAUUCAUCGUACACUUUAAAUUAAUUUUCUUUGUGUUCUUUGGAAAAAUAUAUUUUUUAAAAUAAGUUACAAAUUUAAUAUAGUUAGUUAUUAAAAAGAAAGACUACCAAUUAAUGAUCUAUUUAAGUUUACCAAUAUACCCUUACACCAAUAUUAAAUGCAAAAAUUAAAUGAAAUAAAAUGAAGAGUUCUUAUUGGUUGAAAUUUAUUCUCUUUUAUUCUUACAAAAAAUUUCUUCUCAUUUGAACUCUCCACCUAUUGGCUAAAAAGAUAAUUUUCAAAUAGAAAAUUAAUGAUUGCAAUAAAGGUUGUCUUAAAUGAAAAUUCUUGAUCAAAAGCACUAAUGAACGAUGAGUGACAAAUCAUGAGAGUUUAGAUUAUUGAUUGUAUUUAUGGUUAACAAAUAAAUUAACUCAAUUUAUAUUGUUUUGACAUAUUGUUUUGACAUAUUAUAUAACGCACAGACAAUUAUUUGUAGAGGGUUGUUUUUGAACGCAAGGAGAUUGCAAAAGAGAGGAGUUCGACAGCUGAAGAGUGGGACGCACUGGCGGCUGUACACGGUGCAAGCAUGAGCGACUAGGUGGUUUUUUUCAGGGUGACGGUUCCUAGGAUUCCGACUAGGAAGCUAUCAGUUGGAGUGGAUCCUGGAC
RNAcentral lists this long non-coding RNA (1126 nucleotides) under Helianthus annuus (common sunflower). Its description in RNAcentral is "sRNA HanXRQr2_Chr11g0470891". The record is from RNAcentral. Lineage: Eukaryota; Viridiplantae; Streptophyta; Magnoliopsida; Asterales; Asteraceae.